Molecule: ribosomal RNA, 489 nt
Filed under: uncultured bacterium
Lineage: Bacteria
Description: partial 16S ribosomal RNA
Rfam family: Bacterial small subunit ribosomal RNA
Source: RNAcentral
AUUGAACGCUGGCGGCAGGCCUAACACAUGCAAGUCGAACGGUAACAGGAAGAAGCUUGCUUCUUUGCUGACGAGUGGCGGACGGGUGAGUAAUGUCUGGGAAACUGCCUGAUGGAGGGGGAUAACUACUGGAAACGGUAGCUAAUACCGCAUAACGUCGCAAGACCAAAGAGGGGGACCUUCGGGCCUCUUGCCAUCGGAUGUGCCCAGAUGGGAUUAGCUAGUAGGUGGGGUAACGGCUCACCUAGGCGACGAUCCCUAGCUGGUCUGAGAGGAUGACCAGCCACACUGGAACUGAGACACGGUCCAGACUCCUACGGGAGGCAGCAGUGGGGAAUAUUGAACAAUGGGCGCAAGCCUGAUGCAGCCAUGCCGCGUGUAUGAAGAGGGCCUUCGGGUUGUAAAGUACUUUCAGCGGGGAGGAAGGGAGUAAAGUUAAUACCUUUGCUCAUUGACGUGACCCGCAGAAGAAGCACCGGCUAACUCCGU